GACGAACGCUGGCGGCGUGCCUAAUACAUGCCAGUAGAACGCACAGUUUAUACCGUAGCUUGCUACACCAUAGACUGUGAGUUGCGAACGGGUGAGUAACGCGUAGGUAACCUGCCUGGUAGCGGGGGAUAACUAUUGGAAACGAUAGCUAAUACCGCAUAAUAUUAAUUAUUGCAUGGUAAUUAAUUGAAAGGUGCAAUUGCACCACUACCAGAUGGACCUGCGUUGUAUUAGCUAGUAGGUGAGGUAACGGCUCACCUAGGCGACGAUACAUAGCCGACCUGAGAGGGUGAUCGGCCACACUGGGACUGAGACACGGCCCAGACUCCUACGGGAGGCAGCAGUAGGGAAUCUUCGGCAAUGGACGAAAGUCUGACCGAGCAACGCCGCGUGAGUGAAGAAGGGUUUCGGAUCGUAAAGCCCUGUUGUAAGAGAAGAACGGGUGUGAGAGUGGAAAGUUCACACUGUGACGGUAUCUUACCAGAAAGGGACGGCUAACUACGUG
Molecule: ribosomal RNA, 505 nt
Filed under: uncultured bacterium
Lineage: Bacteria
Description: partial 16S ribosomal RNA
Rfam family: Bacterial small subunit ribosomal RNA
Source: RNAcentral